UUUUUUAAACGAAACAACCUAUGUUGUCAGUUUGCUGAACAGACUAGAGAAGGUAAUAAAACUAAAACUCUGUGAAAGUUAUGAGACCUAAUGUCUCUAGUGGUGUAGUAUUCUCUAGUAUUGAAUCAGCUAGAUUCAAUGAACUACAGAUAGCUUUUAAUUCCUACAUUGACCUGCUUAGCUACACUAUUUUUAACUUGGUUAAAUACUUUGCUGGGUCUGUAUCUGGACCGCGGUGCACCAGUUAACAACACCUGGUCUAGGGUUGUGUUACAUUUCUGGGGUAUUUUUUUGUGUGUUUUUUUUUUUUUUUUUUUCUGUGACUUCUUCCAGUCCCUCCAGGAUUUUGCAAAAUCAAGCAAACUCAGAAAUAGCAAUAUUCGGAGGAGCUCGCAAUUUUUCACAAGUACUGCAGAUACGGGCCGAGACGCGCCAUGUGACGUCAUCACAACGCGCAUUCAGCCAAAGCCCCCUUCGUUUCACGUGCGUGAAACACGAGUACAGCUAAAAGGUCUCAUUUACCAAAAACAUCACUGUGAAAGACCGUGCAGAACAAUUUCGUGCGAUCGCAAUUUCGCCAAUUCAAAUAGUUUUCCACAAAAAAAAAAACACACAAUAAACUUUUUACAUCGCAUAACAGAUUUUGAAAAAAGCCACAGGAAAAUCAAUCACAGCAACAACCCCCCCCCCCAAAAAAAAAAACCUCUGCAAAAUCCUGUAUGGACUGUUCUUAUGAGUGUUGGUGCCUCUGCUAUAGACCUAAACCAGAAGCAAUAGAUACAGUAGAUUUGCAUUCGUUUGUUUCUUAAAGGAAUGAAAAUUAUAUUUGAUAGAAGGAAAAUGAUUGAACUUUCCUUUGCCCCCCCCCCCCCCCCCCCCGAAAAAAAAUUGUUUGUCGUAUUUCAGAGAUGGUCAAUGAAAAGGGAAAGAGAAGCAGGUAAUAUUUAAUAAAGUAUUUGAUAAAGUCAAAUAAAUGUUUCAGGCAAACUUGCAACUGGAUUUCAUAUUCAAGUCACAUUCAGUGGUUUUAAAACUGGAAAUGUAAUAUCCAAGGCAGCUCGUUUCGAAGUGAACUGUCAGAACCGUUCAGCUGCACUGGAUCUUAAAGCAGUCGUCAUUAUCAUGCAUUACUGCUGAAGGUCAAAUUUUGCACAAAACGGUCACCACCCCAAGAAAACCUUGUAGCAUUUGCGCCAGGACAUUGUUAAACUAUUCUGAUGUUAAAAGCAGUAUUUUGUGCUGUAUAUCAUUGUGUAUCAAUCUGUGAACGAUGUUACAUCCGAUUUGUUUCAGUCUUUGUACAGUGUAAGAGUAUAGACCCACUGAGGUGACAUACUGGGUUUUUUUUUGUUUUGUUUUGUUUUUUAUUAAAGUGCGACCCAUAUGUAGAGUGAAUAGAUUUUUGAAUUUUUUUGUACAAUUUCUGCUAAAUAAUUAACUGGAUAAUUAACGUAUUAAGUCUGACAAUUCAACAACAUAUUAAGUCGUGAGCUUAAGUUACACAAUUCAUUGCCUUGGCAUAAUCAUUUAAAAUAUUAAACUUGUGGCCUCAAUGCGUUAUGCCGUGGCCGCAACCCUAUUAAAAAUAACCACAAAGUCACCUCGGAGGUUCUAUAUAGAAGUCGUUUGUUUGUUUGUUUUUUCACUUUGAGACCGAAAAAUACGAAGAGCUGAUGUGUAUUUAAAAAUGGCACAGUAUCCAUACGUGCCUUUAUACCACUGCUGCAGACUUUUGCUCCUUUGGGAUGUUUUUUUUCUUUCCCCUGUUGAUUACAGAAACCUGCUUUAUUAUUAUUUUUUUAAUUCUUCAAGGCAUUUUGGAAGUGCGGGAACUGUCCUGUAUGCAUAAAUAACUACCGCUAGAAUGCUCCUUGUCCGUUUUUAUAAUGUAGAGUAGAAACUUGCACAAAACAAAAAAAGUCAGUACUGCAUAAAGUACAAAGUGGGGAAAAGGUCUGCCGUGUUAUAAUUUGGUGUGUUCGUUUCCCACAAUCACGGCAUGUGCUUGUGUGUCCCUUCUGUUCAGAUCUUGUUCAACUUGUACAUUUGGGCAGGCUGCACUGAAAUGUGAAAUAAAGAUCAUUUUACAUAACGUCACAGUUUGCCCUGGCAUUUUAUCAGUACGUUACUUUUGCUACCCAGUGUUGUGCAAAA
Ictalurus punctatus (channel catfish) is the source of this 2154-nucleotide long non-coding RNA. The record is from Ensembl. Lineage: Eukaryota; Metazoa; Chordata; Actinopteri; Siluriformes; Ictaluridae.